RNAcentral lists this ribosomal RNA (497 nucleotides) under uncultured bacterium. RNAcentral's name for it is "partial 16S ribosomal RNA". It matches the Rfam family "Bacterial small subunit ribosomal RNA", at positions 28 to 507 of the family's 1533-position model. The record is from RNAcentral.
GAUGAACGCUGGCGGCGUGCCUAAUACAUGCAAGUCGAGCGAACGGACGAGAAGCUUGCUUCUCUGAUGUUAGCGGCGGACGGGUGAGUAACACGUGGAUAACCUACCUAUAAGACUGGGAUAACUUCGGGAAACCGGAGCUAAUACCGGAUGAUAUUUUGAACCGCAUGGUUCAAAAGUGAAAGACGGUCUUGCUGUCACUUAUAGAUGGAUCCGCGCUGCAUUAGCUAGUUGGUAAGGUAACGGCUUACCAAGGCAACGAUGCAUAGCCGACCUGAGAGGGUGAUCGGCCACCCUGGAACUGGGACACGGUCCAGACUCCUACGGGAGGCAGCAGUAGGGAAUCUUCCGCAAUGGGCGAAAGCCUGACGGAGCAACGCCGCGUGAGUGAUGAAGGUCUUCGGAUCGUAAGACUCUGUUAUUAGGGAAGAACAUAUGUGUAAGUAACUGUGCACAUCUUGACGGUACCUAAUCAGAAAGCCACGGCUAACUACGUG